GUAAGUUAGCGUUCAAGUUAGCUGUUUAUCCGAAUAACAGAGCUUAUCAGUACGAUUUAGCCCCCAAAAAUGUACUCGCGUGGUUCGGGAACAUCUUGCGCUGUUCGUGGAUGUACCAACAGCAAGUGGAAGCUACAUUUGUGGCUACAGGAGCGAUGUUUUUAACACACAUCCCGGACGAAGACAGAGUGUGUCUGUGCACCUCGGUAUAGUUUUCACCGCCUGCCCAAAGAUGAGGAAACUCAACGGAUGUGGCUUAAAAAACCCUCAACUUAAAGAAACCACCCCAAACACUGUACAUGUGUUCCUUCCAUUUCAUCGAUAAAAAGCCCACGGAGGAAAACCCGCAUUCUACGUUGUGGUUGGGUUAUAACAAACCUAUGGAGAAGAAACGCUGAGUGCUGAGGAGGUUCAACAGCAGCGUCACAUCAAUGACAGUGGACACUUGAUCUCCAGGAGCUGUGUCGAGUCUAAAAUGCCAUCUGGACCCAAACCAGGGAUGCUCAGAACACACCACCAGGCCUCUUUGCUCCACAGUGUGGAAUUGACCCUCCAUGAGCUGAAUGGCUUUGUCCUCAUUUUCUUUACCAUAUUUAGUGGCAGAGCUGCCAGUGAAGGUGGGGUGUAAGUGUUCAGUCAGAACUUCUGUGGGUUGGUUGUGAUGUGUUUAGGCACUCAGUGCUGUGUUUGCAGUCAGUCGCAGCUUCAUGUGUGUGAUGCACUUUGUAUUUGGGUCUCUUUGCUCAGUGUCUCUAAUUGUGUUGGGCUUAGUUGAACAUACGUUUCAUAAAAGGUGAUACUUCCUGCAGGUCAGCACUGUGCUGUGCUCUGUAUGAAGCGUAUGUUGGUCACACUGGCUCUGAGAAUACUGAGGAGAGUCAUCUUCUAAUUCUAGUCUGUAGCACUGCUGAAGGGGACCAUUCAUCUGCAGCUGAUAUAGCAGGGCCAUCACAGAAGAACUGAUGUAUGUUUUAAAGUCUUUGUGAUUUUUAAAACGUUUGCUGAUGAUGCACUGGUGUGAUUUGAUGUUGACGCUGAUGAAUCUUCAUGAAUGUGUUCUGCUUUAUGGUGUUUAAACCCUUUUCAGCUCUGUA
Long non-coding RNA from Thalassophryne amazonica, 1094 nucleotides. RefSeq lists it as uncharacterized. The transcript is spliced from 2 exons. NCBI's taxonomy places the organism in Eukaryota, Metazoa, Chordata, Actinopteri, Batrachoidiformes, Batrachoididae. The record is from RefSeq and is a predicted model, not a curated record.